RNAcentral lists this long non-coding RNA (929 nucleotides) under Mytilus galloprovincialis (Mediterranean mussel). The stretch from base 526 to 570 matches the Rfam family "Histone 3' UTR stem-loop". Lineage: Eukaryota; Metazoa; Mollusca; Bivalvia; Mytilida; Mytilidae. The record is from RNAcentral.
UAUCUAUUCAAAUUUUAACACUCUUUUCAGACUUUUUUUCAUCUCAAAUGAACUUCUAAUGGUGGAAAAUUUGGCCCUGAUAAAAUCAACAUUGCACAAAAUAUUACUUUCCUACUAUAAUCAGGAAACAACACUACAUUUACAUGUAGUUGCAGUAAGAAGUAUGCCAAAGAAAUAUUGUGUAUUUUUAUGUCCCCACUUUAGCGCAGAGGGCAUUAAGUUUUAUUAUUAUAUCUUACAUAUAUUUUAAACAAUUCUAUUAGUUGAAACGUUGUUACAUGAUAUGGAAUAAUUCAGUUGUUUUUCAUUCAAUUGCAAGGAAGGACAAAUAACCCUAUUAUUCACCGGCAAAUAACCUUUUGAGUUUGUUGAUUAGUGCUUGAGUUAUCUCCCAUGAAAAUGACGUCACAGAUGUAAAUAAACAAAAUGGCAGCGUUCACGUUAGACUGGAAGCCCAUUGAGAGACGAGAAAAUAGGGCAUUGGACAUGAACAGAGUGCCAGCAACUGAUGAUAUCUCUUAUAAAGUAACGGUCCUUUUCAGGGCCAUCAAUAUUUUACAAAAAGAUUCUACCUUUGUUGUACAUUCGAGAAAUUCUAGAACACAAAUGUAUUUUCAAAUGUCAGCUUGUCUUUGUUAUCUAAAGUUAAAAGAAUAUAGAAAGUUAUCAAAAGACCUUUCCAUUGUUAGUUCGGUAUAAUAAAACAAGUGGGGCCCCUGAGAAUCGAUGAAUAUCCAAAUUGUCAACCCUUAAAAGUUAUUUCACCUGGGGUUGUGCCCUCAUUGAAAUAACCUUCUCAUGUUGACAAUUUUGGAUAUUCACCUUUUCAACGGCCAUAAUUGUAUAGUGUUGUUCAUCUGUUCGUUGAUUAUUUUAUAUAGUUACAUCCCAAAAAUGGUUUUCAUUCUCUAACUUAAGAUUUCCACGAC